Molecule: long non-coding RNA, 298 nt
Filed under: Lathyrus oleraceus (garden pea)
Lineage: Eukaryota; Viridiplantae; Streptophyta; Magnoliopsida; Fabales; Fabaceae
Description: Pisum sativum (pea) long non-coding RNA (PSAT_LNC017912)
Source: RNAcentral
AGGAUUUGAGGACUCCUUUUUUUUGUUUUUCUUUGUCACUAAUUUUUCCUGGACCACUUCUUUGAAGCUUUCGAUCUAUACGGAUUCCCUAACUUUUUCCUAAGUCCUUUUUUGGUAUUUGACUUAGCGGGCUUUUUUCUCUUUUUUUGAAAGGUGUUGACAACCACAUUAUUGGUGGAUGAGCAUCAACCAACACUAAUUUUAACUUUUCUCAACUUCUUCGAUACUUCAAUAUAUGCGCGAAGGAUAACAUGUGGUUAAACCUAUUUGGAGGGUGUACAGAUGAACUAAUUCUUUU